Ixodes scapularis (black-legged tick) is the source of this 60-nucleotide non-coding RNA. NCBI's taxonomy places the organism in Eukaryota, Metazoa, Arthropoda, Arachnida, Ixodida, Ixodidae. The record is from Rfam.
UUAGCUCAGUUGGAAGAGCGUUCCACUGGAAAUGGAGAAGUCCCUGGUUCGAUACCAGGA